RNAcentral lists this ribosomal RNA (494 nucleotides) under uncultured bacterium. Its description in RNAcentral is "partial 16S ribosomal RNA". It matches the Rfam family "Bacterial small subunit ribosomal RNA", at positions 28 to 507 of the family's 1533-position model. The record is from RNAcentral.
GACGAACGCUGGCGGCGUGCUUAACACAUGCAAGUCGGACGGUGAAGCGCCUUCCUUUUUGGUGGGUGCGGAUGAGUGGCGAACGGGUGAGUAACACGUGAGUAACCUGCCCCCUUCUUCUGGAUAACCGCAUGAAAGUGUGGCUAAUACGGGAUAUUCUGGGUCUGUCGCAUGAUGGGUCUGGGAAAGAUAUUGUUUCGGUGGGGGAUGGGCUCGCGGCCUAUCAGCUUGUUGGUGGGGUGAUGGCCUACCAAGGCGGUGACGGGUAGCCGGCCUGAGAGGGUGGACGGUCACACUGGGACUGAGACACGGCCCAGACUCCUACGAGAGGCAGCAGUGGGGAAUAGUGCACAAUGGGCGCAAGCCUGAUGCAGCGACGCCGCGUGAGGGAUGGAGGCCUUCGGGUUGUGAACCUCUUUCGCCAGUGAAGCAGGCCUGCCUCGUUUGUGGGUGGGUUGACGGUAGCUGGAUAAGAAGCGCCGGCUAACUACGUG